This 80-nucleotide ribosomal RNA is filed under the name Steinernema citrae. RNAcentral describes it as "partial 18S ribosomal RNA". It matches the Rfam family "Eukaryotic small subunit ribosomal RNA", at positions 1752 to 1831 of the family's 1831-position model. The record is from RNAcentral. Lineage: Eukaryota; Metazoa; Nematoda; Chromadorea; Rhabditida; Steinernematidae.
AACCGCGUUAAUCGAAACGGCUUGAACCGGGCAAAAGUCGUAACAAGGUUUCCGUAGGUGAACCUGCGGAAGGAUCAUUA